This 75-nucleotide ribosomal RNA is filed under the name Steinernema sp. SGkr1. Its description in RNAcentral is "partial 28S ribosomal RNA". The record is from RNAcentral. Lineage: Eukaryota; Metazoa; Nematoda; Chromadorea; Rhabditida; Steinernematidae.
ACAACCUCAAUUUAAGUGAGAUUACCCGCUGAACUUAAGCAUAUCAGUAAGCGGAGAAAAGAAGUAUUUAUCGGU